AUGAAAAGAUCCGUCCUUCGUCACUUUCCCAACGCGUUGCUCUCUUUCUUCCCUCCUUCCUUCCCUCCCCGCUUUCUGACUUUUGGAAACCCUCAGAAAGAGGCUGACCAAACAUCGUUAGCAAAUAUCCGUCCAAGGCGUUGGCACUUUAAAAACCUGAGAAAAACAGGGCGACGUUGCCCCUUCCCGCCCUUAUUCCUCCCCCCGGUAAGAAUUGCCGUCCGUCUCAGGGAACUGCGCCCGAGGCAUGAGGGGCGCCUCCAGGAGACGUCACUGAAGCCGCUGCCUUACCCCUGGCGGCAGGGCAAGGCUUGCUGGGAUAGCAUCCGGGAACCACAACAGUCCCCCAUUCCAGCAGUUGAAGCCGGAGGGGAGAGCGUGCGGUGGGGCUUGCCUCCAUACCCCAACAGGGGGAAUGGAGAUGAAAGCAGCAAGUGUUGUUUGCUACACUUCUCAUUUUUCGUUUUGUAACAACCAUGUUCAGACUGAAAAAUAAUCCAAAGUCACUGAGCCAGUUUGAUGGCUCAGUAGGAGUAUGAACCUGAGUCUUCCCAAUUUUAGUUUAGUGCUCUUAUCCAUUGUUUUCAAACAUAAUCUUCCUGCUAUAAAAAAUAAACUGAAAUGGGUUGGAUAUUACA
This 638-nucleotide long non-coding RNA is filed under the name Pogona vitticeps (central bearded dragon). Its description in RNAcentral is "lncRNA (ENSPVIG00000014373.1)". Lineage: Eukaryota; Metazoa; Chordata; Lepidosauria; Squamata; Agamidae. The record is from RNAcentral.